This 469-nucleotide ribosomal RNA is filed under the name uncultured bacterium. Its description in RNAcentral is "partial 16S ribosomal RNA". It matches the Rfam family "Bacterial small subunit ribosomal RNA", at positions 28 to 507 of the family's 1533-position model. The record is from RNAcentral.
GACGAACGCUGGCGGCGUGCUUAACACAUGCAAGUCGAACGGAAAGGCCCUGCUUUCAGGGUGCUCGCGUUGCGAACGGGCGAGUAACACGCGCGUGGUCUGCCCCUUACUUUGGGAUAAGCCUGUGAAACUGGGUCUAAUACUGGAUAGGACCAUUCUGUAGGCGGUUUGGUGGAUAGAUUAGGUUCGGUAUGCGGUGAGCUCGAGACGUAUCAGCUUGUUGGUGGGGUAUUGGCCUACGAAGGCGUCGACGGGUAGCCGGCCUGAGAGGGUGGUAGGCGACAUUGAGACUGAGACGCGGCGCAGAAGCCGACGGGAGGCAGCAGUGGGGGAUAGUGUAACAGGGGAGCAAGGCUGAAGCAGCGACGGCGCGUGGGGCAUGACGGUCUGUGGGUUGUAAACAACAAAUGGGCAUGUCGAUGCGCACGUGGUGACGGUAGUGGAAGAAGAAGCACCGGCUAACUACGUG